Molecule: transfer RNA, 76 nt
Filed under: Alphaproteobacteria bacterium
Lineage: Bacteria; Pseudomonadati; Pseudomonadota; Alphaproteobacteria
Description: tRNA-Trp
Rfam family: tRNA
About the family: Transfer RNA (tRNA) molecules are approximately 80 nucleotides in length. Their secondary structure includes four short double-helical elements and three loops (D, anti-codon, and T loops). Further hydrogen bonds mediate the characteristic L-shaped molecular structure. tRNAs have two regions of fundamental functional importance: the anti-codon, which is responsible for specific mRNA codon recognition, and the 3' end, to which the tRNAs corresponding amino acid is attached (by aminoacyl-tRNA synthetases). tRNAs cope with the degeneracy of the genetic code in two manners: having more than one tRNA (with a specific anti-codon) for a particular amino acid; and 'wobble' base-pairing, i.e. permitting non-standard base-pairing at the 3rd anti-codon position.
Source: RNAcentral
AGGAGUGUAGCUCAAUUGGUAGAGCGCCGGUCUCCAAAACCGGAGGUUGGGGGUUCGAUUCCCUCCGCUCAUGCCA